Long non-coding RNA from Lolium rigidum, 4840 nucleotides. RefSeq lists it as uncharacterized. NCBI's taxonomy places the organism in Eukaryota, Viridiplantae, Streptophyta, Magnoliopsida, Poales, Poaceae. The transcript has 2 exons. The record is from RefSeq and is a predicted model, not a curated record.
CCCUCCAGAAAAUGGUCUCGAUGGGCUUCUACGCGGGCGCGUGCUCCGGCGACGCCGCCCCUCCGUUAUUCUCCUCGCCAUUGUGAACCUCCGCGACCGCAUCACACGGGGAGGAGGGGCAUCUCGCCGACUUCCCAAGGCCCGCCAUGGCAUCGCGGUGUCGUGCCGAUCUAGCCUCCGCGCGACCUCGGGUGGGAGACGAGGUGGCGGAGAUGUUGUCCGUAUGGAGGUAGGACGGCGGACCUUCACCGGCAAGAUUCAAUGGAACAGGAGGCGACAGCAGCCUCCCUCAACCCCCUGCAGCUUCGGCCGCUUUGUCCUGCUGCUCCAGGCGAGAGGAACCAGCGCGGGGGCCAUGACGGCGCGUUGGGCGGGUGCUUCUCCCCGGUGCAUCAUGGUGGAGGAGCCUCGGGCCCUCCUCUCCUCCAGAGGCGGAUGUCUUUGUUGAUGAGGACCUCGGGCCCCUACUCUUCUCCCCAACGUGUAUUGGCUAUGUGAAGAGCUGACACGGCCAAUUUCGUUGAUAGACAGUGCGCGUCGUCGCCGGUGGAGCGGUCGGAUUCGGGUGGGGGCGCUGGAGGUUGCCGGCCUCCUCUCUCCUUGCCGUCGCCGCGUUGCGCGUCCGAGGCGGAUAGGGAUAGCCGUGCGCGUGGUAGCCAGCGGAGCGGCCGGAUUGGAGUGGGGGCGUCUCUCUCCUUGCCGUCGCCGCGUUGCGCGUCCGAGGCGGAGAGCCCGUGUGCGUGGUAGCCAGCGGAGCGGCCGGAUUGGAGUGGGGGCGCUGAAGAUUGCCGGCCUCCUCUCUCCCUGGCCGCGUCGCGGUACGCGUCCGAGGUGCGCAUCCUAGGUGCCGUCGGCCUCCAGAUCAUGCGUACGGUAGGAUCGAGCGCGGCCGCCGAAGCCAAUGUCGAGCCACGAGCGGUGGGCGCGGAGUUCUCGGUGGAGAGCACAACAGUGCGGCGCCACAGGUUUUCAGGUCAGCGCGUGUGGUGAUUUCCAUCCGCAACAAGGUCGGCCUCCUUCGGCGUGAUGAUUUCCAUCUUUUCUUUGAAAGUUUGGAUCCGCUUUGGAGGUGUAUCGGCAGCUUCCAUUUGUCUGUUGGGCCGCGUCGUGGAUGCUCCUGCCGGUCUGCAGCUUUUGGUCUAUCCAUGAAGAUUGGCUUCAUGCCUUUAGUUUGAAAAAGUUAGUAGCAGGCAAGCCACGUUUGCAUAUUUUGUUUGAUCAUUUGCACACUUACUGAAAUAUUUUGCUCGAUUGAGUGAUAAUACAGUGAUCUAGGUGCUUCCUUGUAGAAUUUCCUUAUACACUGAUACUGAUUUUUUUUUUUUCGAUAAAGAUACACUGAUACUGAUUUCUCGAGAUUUGUCAGGAAACAUGCUAAGCUUAGUGGGAAUAUAUAUGAUUUGAAGAAGAGUAUAUUUCUCAUUAUUCUCUGAAUCCAAAAAUCCUAAAUCGUUAUAGAUAUGGCACCACAGUUGUGUUCCACUGUAAUCUGCAGAAUUUCUGAGCGGGAAGGUUGACUGAACCUUUGCAUUCAUUUUGGAGAAUGGAAAAAGAAAGAUAAUAGAUGCAUGUUCUGCUGAUGUCCCGUUGGUAACACUCUAGGUAAUUAAGAUAAAUUAUUAUUGAGCACAAAAUUAACCUUUGUAUUACAACGUGUGCCAUUUUCACUGAUUCCCUCUCAUCAAAGGUUGGGCUUUGAGGAAACAAGCUUUGAAAGGGUGCAUCUAUAUUUUUAAAAUCAGAUUAACAAUAAAUAUUCUUUCUGACGUCUUAAGCAUCUCCUUAAGUUUAGUAUUACAACUUUUUUUGGGGUCUUUUCUGCCUAGCUUAUCGGAUUGAUGUUAUCUUAGUUCGAUCAAACAACUAACUGAAUUGAGGUGAUUAUUAAUUUACCUAGCAAUGCUCAGUAGCUACUGGGGACAUUGGCUAAGCAGCCACGUUCUCUUAGUUUGAUUAAACAACUAGCUGAAUUGGGGUGAUAAUUAAUUUACAUAGCAAUGCUCAGUAGCUACUGGGGACAUUGGCUAGGCAGCCACGGAUAGUUGAGGGGCGAUAGCUUGAUCUACUAUGCACAAUGUUGUUCAUAUAUGACGUUGAAACUUGAGAUGCCGAUGUAUGUCAGACCAAUUCCAUGGUGGAGAUUUUCCUAACAUUUUUAUAAUUCAUUGCGAUUUGUUGAAAGUGAAAGAAAAGAGGGAUGGAAGGCAUCUGCCAAUGAUGCCCAAAAUUUAGCCAAAAAAUCAAUUGAGAUUUGUUUAUGUAUUAAUAUUAAUGUUCCAUGUUCCGUUUUUUGGAAAUAUACAAUGAAUCGAUGAUCAUUAUCAUGCAGGUUGGCACUUCUCUUGGAGCACAAUUUACAGGAUAUCAGUAGCAAUGCUUGAGCUGCAUCUAAACAUAAAUUUAUAUCUUUCCCUUGCCUUCAAAAUAAAUGGAAGCAAACUUUAGUAUACACACUUAUCUGUUGUAGGCAUCUGUACACAGCGUAGAGAACUUCAAUCUAAUCAAAAUAAUACGGAAAAUUCGUUGCAUCUUACCUGCAACCCCUUGUAGUGUAUGACAAAAUAUAAGUGUUUUGUCCCUUUUUUGUAUUCUCAACUUUUCAUGCUUCUUGUGCUCAGAUCACAAAUGCCUAUUUCAUUGUAUUUCAGUUUAGAUCUCAAAGUUAAAUUUAGAAGAAGUUUGAAGUUAUGUUUAGAAUAUAAUUUUGUAGAAUAGAUUAUGACAGUGAAAUAUAGUUAAGAUGUUUGUUUAAUUUGUGCACUUGCACCCCUCGCCACUUCCUUCUGGAUGCAGAGCAGUACAAUGGAGGGCAUGUUAACAGGGAACUGAGUGGAUGUCCAGAGAUCACCUAUGUGGUGUCAAAAAGACAUGGAGAUCAGCUGACCAGUAUCUGAGAAUUUGCUUUACUCGAAGAAAAAUGAUACAACAAAUUCCAUCCAACAAGGAAAGUCAAUACAGCAUCAUCAUUUCCAGUGGUAGUCACUUCAAACUCUAUGUCUUCAUUACUUAGUUCUCCGAUUACCGGAUCUUUUUUUGGUAGAGGUUUGUCUUGAGAGGUACUAACUUUCUUACUCAAAUUGGUCUGUCCGGAUUAGAAAGGAAAAAAUGAGAGUUCCGAUACGGAUCAUUUGUAUCCCAACCACAUUCUCAUGUUUUCCUACAAAGUAUUUCCUUUUGUAGUGCUACAAGAAUGGACAGACCAGAGAAUAAGUCUUUACAUAAUUGCAGCCUUUUAGGAAUUUCUUAUAUUUAUUUUUUAGGGCAACCUCUAAAUUUACCUCACACUCUUAGUUUCAUUUCCUUUUCUACUCUGCUGAGAAAUAAUUAAGAUCUAAAACAGUAUUUACCAUUCAUUUAGUGUUUCAUUAUCUGAAGCUUGAUCUUCUCUUCUUAACUGCAAGCAUGCUUUAAAAUUUAUAUUCAUAUAUGAUAAAAACUUCGACCAUCUUGUGCAUCAACCCCUUGGUGGCAACAAAUAAACACUACUAACUAAUUGAGCACACUCUUCUGUAAACUGUGCUGACUUACCAUGUUGUAAAUCAUAUUUGAAAGAACAUGAUUGAUACUUUCUUGCACAUACUAGAUCAUAUAUGUCUUUGCAACUGGUUCUUAAUCUAAGCUACAAGUUUACUUUGCAUCUGUACAUCGGUCCCCUUUUGGAUUAAUUAAACUGAUCACUACCCUUCUUUUUCUUUAUAUGUUCCAUUAGUGCAUGAUUUCAGAAGAUCAAAAUUCUACUUCUCGCAAAUCUUUUUUGCUUCUUCACUUUCUUUAGUGCCUGAUUUUUGUUCCGUUGUCGCUGGCAUUUGAACUUCAUUUGUUCAAUUUGUCAAAUAAUGCAUUCAGUGUACAUGUUAUGCAUUUGUUGGCUGACUUCAAUUUUCUGAGAUAUCCAAAUAUAUGAAUUUUUUUCAUUGGUGUUAGGGUCUAAUCUCUUGCCGCAUGACUUAAACACUCAAAAGGAUCUUCUUUUGGUGUCUGACGGUUUGUAUUUCUUUACUUGUGAGUGCAAUAGAGGGCUAAAAGUAUUCUCUUAGAUUAAUAACAUACAUUUAGUAUAUGUGGGUUCCAUUUCAAAUUGUCGUUUUUUCUUUUGUGAGCUCAAUUUGAAAUAGUUAAGCAAGUAAAAAUUGUGGAUUCAGUGCAACGAUUUUCUCCUUUCACGGUCCUUAAAGUUAGUUGUGGCUCUGCUUAAAAAGGUUUCUGUAGUAUAUUUCACUAUCGAUGUGGACUUCUAUAAUCAAAUACUUUUAUUAGUGGAAAAAUAUAACAAAUGGUAAUUUAAAACUACAUAUCUAAUGCAAUGAACUUUUGUUGUUCCGGUUUGCGAUGUUGAACCUAUCAAGACACUGACUGAUGAUACACAUAAUUUAUAUAGAUGAGCUCCACAUGAAGUGAUUUGGAUGGAGCGAACCUGGAGAUUUAGAAGGACAACUUUUCAUAUAUUACAAUGUCGUUCUGUUUUCUUAGUCAUAAUUUGAGAAUUUUUGUUGUCAUAGUAAUGUUGGACUGAUAAGCUCCUUGUGGAGUUAGAGGAAGCGACUGCUGGUUGUGUGGACACGAGGAGUAGACCAUAGAAUUAGAGGCCAAAUUAAAAGUUGGGAUUUUGCAUCAGUGUGUUUGAGAAAUUGAUGCAAAGUCUAUGAAUGUUGAUGUUAAGAAGUUGGGUAUCUUUGAAAUUCUCGACAAGAGAUGAUCUUUGUCUUCAACCACGACAAUGAUUACAGUCAUGUACCAUAGAUGGCAAGAAUACCUGAUUAGUAGUAAGUUAGAUGCUGUCAAUUGAAAGGCAGCGGUUACCUUGGGCCUAUGUGUGUCCGUAUAAGUACCUUUAGUUCCA